Molecule: long non-coding RNA, 7230 nt
Organism: Equus caballus (horse)
Lineage: Eukaryota; Metazoa; Chordata; Mammalia; Perissodactyla; Equidae
Source: Ensembl
GCAACAUUGCUUUUAUUGGGGGUUUGGGGGACAUAUGACAAAGUCUCAUAAAAUGUCAACAAAGUCACAUUUUGUGCUUGGCUACUCUUUAAAAAAUCCUGUUUAUUUAAAAAUCACUUAAUGAGAACUGUGUGAAAUAUGGCCAAUAAUCAUCAUUUUGAAAAAAGGACGAGCUGAGCCACAAGGAGGUCUAAGUCUGACAAUGCCAGAUACCUAAGUGGAAAUUUACAACAGUCAAAUAUUCAGGUACUUCCAAACAUCUAGAUGUUUGUCCUUAAGCAAUCCCAGCUUAAUUGACUCCUUCAAGACAGAAUUGCAUUUGGAACCUCUGUGUUAUCCACCUGACCAUUUUAUUAAGCAUUACUAAAUGCCAACCAAAUGUAAAGGGGCUGAUAAAGAAAAGUGAAAUUUCCUUAACUCUAGCUUUUUAUUGCCGAAGUACUCUUGAGUUAGUUACAUGGAUAAGUGAGGAUUAAAAUAGCAAAUAACUAUUGAUAUUUUCAAAAACAUAAGAACUAUUGAAACAAUCAUGUAUAAAUAGUCAUCAGAAGCACUUAUGAAUACAUACUGUGCACUAAGUUGAUUAAGAAAAUGCUCUUUAGGAGAUCUGAUUUGUUUGGGUAAACUGAGAAUUCCAAAUAACUUAAGAAUAUCAUUGAAGACAUUGUACACACAACUUGGGCCAUUACGUGUUCUUUGGGGAUGGACUGUUGACAAUUUCUGGAUCUAACGAUGUUAGUUCACAGCUAGCUAUUUGUCCCAUCGAGGUGAGAAGCCAAAGAGGUGCAGAAUUGAAGCCAUCUACUAGGUACAAUGCUCCCUGAUCACGCAGAUAGAACGUUUUCAUUGAUCAAAUUCGAGUUUCUACUUGAACAGGGUGGAGUAGUUCAAGAGCCUCUGAGACUAGACUGAAGGGCCUGGUUUCUGGACCUAGAUCCGCCACACUCAAAUGCGUCAUCUUCCAUAAGUCACUCUAACUAUAUGGAUUUAUCUCAUCUGUGAAAAAGAACAUUACAGUAGAUGACCUUUAAGCUCUCCCACCUCCCUUUUAAUUAUUCUCAAGAAUUUGAGAUUUCUUGCAGACCAAAGUGAACACCUCAUUAAAGUCUGGCAAAAAAAAAAAAAAAAAGCCUAAAAUGCUGAAAACCUCUGUUGCCCAAUUUUUUCAAUUUUCUAUCAUGAAAAUACAUUCUAUUAUUCAAGUGUUUUAACCAGAAAAUUAAAGUUUUUAUGGGAUAAUUAAAUAAAGUAACUAUUUGUUUACCAUAGAAAAACAUCAAAGCGUACAGAAGAAGUAGCAAUAUGGUGACAUUGACCACAACAUUCUGACUUCAUGCUUUAGAUAGAUCGUGAGCUUUGCAAUCGCAAUUCUGAAUAUAAACCCUGUAUACGGCACUUUGGCAAGUUACUUAAUCUCAUUAAACCUCAGUUUUCUUAUCUGUAACAUAGGGAUAAUAACACCUAUUUUGCAAGAUUGUUGGGAGGCUUAAGUGAGUUAAUAUGUAAGAUGCUUAACAGAUAGUGAGAACUCAAUAAAUACCAAUUACUAUUAGCUUAACAGAAAAAUCGCAAGUUCUCCUUAUAAUCACCAAUCACUCUCAUUUGCUUUAAUGGCAGAGAAAUGCAAUUACAAUUCUAGGUGAAAUCUGGAGUGGGAGAGGGGAAAUGUGUGUGCAAAUUCUUUACCAUAUAUGUAUAUAUAUGUUGGCAUUGAAUGUCUGAGGUGAAGUCAACUAGAUGUGUGUAUUCAUAAUUCCUAAACUCAGCAAGCAGGUUCCUUCUUCCAUGGUUUUGCUCACAAAACUGAUCCAUCUGAAGGACUCUGUUUUCUCCUUCCUUUCCAUUUAUCUGAAUCUUUAACAUCCUUUGAGAUUCAUCUUAUAUUUUCCUCCUUUGGGAACUUUCUUCCUAAACAGACCAGUUUUGUCCAGCUCAUGGUGACCUCCUCUAAGCUCCUUGUUUGUAUCCUUUAUUUUGUUUUGGUUUUGCUCUUAUCGUCUAUUGACCCAAUUUGUUACUUAUCUUUUCAAAAGUUUAUGUACCUCUGUCUGACUAGAUUUAAACUCUAGAAGUAGUAACGAUGUCUCACAGAACCUAGCUUACUUGAUUAAAAAAAUGGUUGAUUGUUGGUGUCAGGUGGAAUAAUUUGAUAUUUCUAUGCUGCAUUAUGAGUGUUUUACACCGCUAUUUUAUCCUUUGGAUUGCCUCUGACUCCGUUGUUAUUUCGAAAGUACUUUAUUUUCUCUAGGUUACUCUUAAGAUCAAACUCUGUGUGUGGCUAAAAAUCAAUCUACUUAUAGCAUUAAUUUUGUUAUAACAUUAACACAUUUGUGCCAUUUUUGAUUUUAAAAUCACUGCAUUAAUAAGCAUGUUCAUACUAGGAAAAAUUUUAAAAAGUGAAUGUCACACCGAAUUUAAAUACAAACAGAGGAAUACACACGAGGAAGGGAAAGUCCUUGGCUCCUUAGAAAUCUAAUCUAGAUGUUGUUAAGUUUUUCCGUUUCUUGAAAAGAUUGCCUCUUGUUCUGAGAGUUCUGUUGGCUGAAACUGUCCCAUUUGGGUGUGCUGCUUAGCAGGAGAGGUUUCUUCAGGUGAUGGCUUUCUUUGUUUCAACUUCAUAGUUGGCUUGCGCGUCCUUCAGUGCAUCGGUCUCUGUAGUCUUUGUCCUUUCACUGGGGAGACAUUCCUGGGGGGGGGGGGGCUAUAGGAUCAGCUGAAAGGAACAUCAACACAACUAAAAGAAUAACAGAACAUGUCACGGAAAGUUAUCACAUUGACUCUUUAAUAAAAAUAAAUAAAUGUAAUGAUACUUUGGAGGCUAUGCUGUUUCUAACUACAAGUGAAAUUCUGCAUCACCGGAAAAAUGUAGCUCUUUCUCAUUGUUCACUUUGCUCAAGAAUUGGUCAAGCAAGUGUAUCGCUUGAGUGUGUGUGGGAGCACCACUUAAUUGCUCUGGGAGAAAAUGCUCCAUCAGAAAAACUUCAGGUUUAUCCAACAGGCAACUUACUGAAAUAGGACACGCAGGAAAACAACAAAAGAACACAGGACGUUAAGGACACACUCAAAAAAUCUGAAGACUAAACACAAAAUAAAAUAACUGUGAGUUCAUAAGUGCUGAGCAAUGCAGGAGUGAAUGAAGUCACUAGAAUGAUUAGGAGUUAAUGUUAAUUCCUCGUAUUUGUCUUUGUAUUUCUAGUGCCUCGCUCUGAGCAUGACAUGGUACCCACUGAAAGAAAGAAUGAAAGAACAAAAGGGAGGGAGGGAGGGAGGAAGGAAGGUAGGCAGGAAAGAAAGAAGAACAGAGAGAGAAAUAGUGAAGGAGGAGGGAGGGGGAGAAAGAAAAGAAGAAAAGAAAGGUUUCCAAAAUGCAGACGGGCCGAGAGACAGAGUGUGCAGAGAGAAAGGCAGGGUGCGAGCAAGUUCAAAGACUUGGGAGCCAGGGACGGCAGGUUCACUUAAUUCAAAAAGAGAUUACACAUUCAGAGUGGUUUCAGAAAAUGCGGUGGGACAAUUUUCAGGAGGUUUUGAAAACGUUAGGAUUUAAUCUGGGAAGUGUGCUGUAUUACUGUAACUAUCGUAGUAACACAAUUUAAUGAAUCAAGUGGAAAGGGAAUUGUGAAACUCGAAGGCAUCAACCCAACGGGAAAAAACAAACCAUAUUGCAAGAAAUUAGACGAAGACAGAAGGACUAAAGAAUAUGGUCUUAAAAUAGAAAGGCAGGUGCUUGUCUGGGUUUCUUCUAUGUUAAUGUUAAAGGAAAUGGGCUUAGAACUCAGAUCAAGAAUUUCCUUCUCCCACUGUGUAGCUUUUUUCAUUCCUCAGCUGUUCUUCUUUUCUGACACUGCCCUUCCUGAAAAUGAACUUCAGUCUUUACUGUUUUAGCAUCAAGGCAAAGUAUGUUAGUAAAUACAGUACCUGGAGGUGGAAUCAAAUAUAACUUGAAAGGGCAACUGUCGGUACAAACAGACUCUGGAUUCAAGGGGUCUGGAGUUGUUCUUGUACCUCUAUACUUUAGAAUAGUUUCCAAAAUUUUUAGAACUGUAAAAGAAUUUAGAGACCAACUAAUCCAACUCACACACGUUACAGAUAAGGCUGUUUGGGAAGAGAUGUAUUAAUGUUUCUUUUAUUUUACAAAAGUUAUUAUGAAUGAAACACACUUUGCAGGUGGAUUUUAAUUUAACUAAAGUGUUUAUUGUCAGCCUCUUCAUUAUGCCAGCACAAUGGAGAUGCAUAAUGAGUUAGGCACAGCAAAAGGGACACACUACCACAUACCACUGCUUUCUGCCCUAAACGCUUUGGGUACAUUGAAGAUGUUGCUUCUCUAGAUGACAGGUAUAUUUUUUCCCCUAAAACCUGUAAAACAACCUACUGUUAAAUAUUGUUAAUAGGUAUUUUUCUGUUCUGAUCAAGCAUGCAAUAACUGAUCCCGGAUGAGUAAUUAAAUAUACAUCUUACAGAUUUUAGAAUUCAUUAUUUUGUGAACAUAGAGUGAGAGGGUGGGGUGCUAAGCUUUUGAUACACGUAUGAAAGACUCAUUUGCAAAUAAAUUAAAAUGCUACUGUAGUAAGGAAGGAUGUUUCACAGAAUUUUUUGGUGACUCCUUUGCAUGGCUAAUAAUGGAAAGUCCUUGUAUACAUGAGCAGAUGAAAAGUAAACCAAUGUAUUUCUUUAGUGUUACAUAGAGACGGCUCAUGUAAAAUACCUUUUUUAUAAUAUGGACCCCAUUAUUAAAAUAAAUUUUGAGAAAUAAAUAGUAUAAAUAUGUGAAACACCAUAUUCUAGGUGUCUAUUAUAAGUCAAAUGUUUAACAAACCAGCUUUCUUUGGAGCCUCUGCCUACUUAAUUGGAAUGAGUAAUAUCUUGUAUCAUCUCAACAUGAGCCUCCCUUGGAAUCCUUUUUGUCUCCUGAACAUAUAAGCAUAAAUUGGGAUCCUUGCAUCGUCUUGCUUAGGGUCCCUCUGUGAUCUGAUGGUAAUGAUUCUCUGAAUUUGCAUCAAGAGCAUCUUCUCCUACUGAGCACAUAGCAAGUGCCAAGUGCCAGGCUGACCAAUCAACUCACAGGUGCUCUGUCUGGCAUCUUCCUUAAUAGCUAGAUCUUCAGGGGUCAGCUCCUUGGAGGAGGAUCUCCAGUCCAAGGAGACCCCAUGUCGAGACACCAAAAGGGAAGUUGAUGUUAGUGCACAAAUGACCUAAGGCAGAGAUUCAGUGAUUCAUCAUGUGCCAUGCAAAAUGGAGGAAAAAUAGAGAAGAAGUUGUUUAUUAUUGUUAUGAUUUUGAUUGCUUUGAUUAGAUUAAAAUUAUUAUCUCUGCCUAAGGCCAUUUCCCUGGCAUUUUAUCUCAUUAUUCCAAUAAAGGAAAUGGAUUUCCUAUGAGUAAGAUUUACUAUUCUAAUAUUCUCCAUUACUUCGAGUCGUCCAAAGUCAGGAUGAAAACGAAAUCAGUAAAGAGUAGCAAAUAUUUUACAAAUAACUCAAGUGUCCACAAUGACAAUCCUUUUAGAGAUCAUUAAUUUCCAACAUCUAGGUCACACGCAUUUAUUCUUGCCUGAGAAUGCUAACUGUAUAGUCCUUUUAUCCUUAUACUCGUUAACAAGAAUUUUUUUUAAAAGCUGACUUUAAAAACAUUCUACUCAGGAGCCAUUUCAAAUGAUGAGAAAUGCCCAAGGAAAAAAAAUCUCAAGUAGGCAACAUGUAAAGCAACACACAACUAUAUGCGCAUUAGUAUAAUUACACAUUGCAAAUGAUAUCGGAUGUAUCUAAUAUCUAAUUUUUUGAAAGCUGAUUCCACUUGAGAUUUCAAUAACAGCAUCAACAUUUUGCAGGUGGCUCCUUCUGUAUAGUAUCCAAAGGGAAUUAUUCCUCUAAUGUGCUUCAACCCUCAAGUAAAAGCUGAAGCUCUCCCUUAAAGAACCAAUGAACAAUGAACACCGAGAAUAUUACCUUGAUAGAUAAAGCAAGGGGGGAGGGUGCCACCAAACAUGGAUUCAGCAUGGUUAUUUAUUCUAUUCCUUCUGUGCAUAGGGUCCUUAUUUGCUUCAAGUAAUAAGAAACAAACUUAAAUACAAGCCUCUUUAGAAAAUGUGGAGGAGGCUUCAUAUAUAUAUAUUCUGAGCAAUAAUAUGAAAAGCUAAGAGGCUGAUGGUUUUUUAGAUCAACUGAUAAAAGAGAAAUGUGCAGUUGAAUGGCAGAUUAUACCUUUGACUGAAAACAGAGAGCCCGACAAUAAAUUCCGCUCUUAUAAAACAUACGAUUAAUUUGUCCUAAAUAGGAUGCUGGAUCAAACCUCCAUUUUGAGGAAUAAGCUUUUGUCCUCAUCUUUCUGAAUCAAUCAUCAAAUAACCAAAUAUAUAUUUUUGAUCUUGGAGAAUGGAGCAUAUUAUUCAAGUUGAUUGGAUCCAUUUUCUUGAUUCCUCCUUAAAGAUCUUUCUGCUAAUUAGUCAGGGUUACUAUUGAAUUAUUUAAUUAUCUGCACUUCUGUGCAAUGAAAUAUGUUGUCAUAUCACAUACUUUAUCAUGUUGUUGCUGUUCACACUUAAUGAUCCCUCUAUAGUUAGCAGAGUCCUUUGUUCUGCUCAGUAAGUGGUUCUAGAAAGGGGGUGGGCCCAGAAAGGAGGAGCCUUGGGGUUUGUAAAAUAAAAUCAUACAUUCCUGGUGCACAUGCAAAACUUUAUGCAUUUACAUGAAUUUCCUUUCAGAAAUUAAGUUGCAAUUCCAUUUGGAAUCAGCUAAGAGGCACAUGUCGGUGACUUCGAAUGCAGCCAGAACGAUAUGACUGUACCUUGAACAUCUCUCCAGUGCAUUUCCACUGCAGUGCAAUGCUUUAAUUUACAACAAGCACGAAUGACUGCGAAGAAAAUGAGGCAUCGCUUUCCCCUUGGGCCAGCAUGCCGCAUGCAAAAUCAUAGAAAUCAGAAGGAGAAGACCAAGAGGUAAGAUUUGGAGGCUGUUAAAAGUAUAAAUACGAAUAGCGUUGGAAACUCACCCAUCGGAAGCGGAGCAGGGCUGCAGCCUCCUGUAGCACCAUUCCGAGCAAGGGGGGGAAUGUGAGCUCGAGUGCGCUAGCCUGGGCGAGGUGUUUCAACAGAGGACGGAGAACUGGGCGGAGAGGGGGAGGCGGGGGCAGGAAGCGAUACACCAAAUCUAGAGACUGUAACUCUGUCGUUUAUGCUUCGACGAGAGAGAAAAAAGGCAAUUUGGUGGGAGUGGAGGGAAGCACUGGGACUGAUCAAAU